Molecule: ribosomal RNA, 506 nt
Filed under: uncultured bacterium
Lineage: Bacteria
Description: partial 16S ribosomal RNA
Rfam family: Bacterial small subunit ribosomal RNA
Source: RNAcentral
GAUGAACGCUAGCGGCAGGCCUAACACAUGCAAGUCGAGGGGCAGCACAUAAAGUGGUUUACUACUUUUGGUGGCGACCGGCGGACGGGUGCGUAACGCGUAUGCAACCUGCCUCCAACAGGGGGAUAACGGAGAGAAAUUUCCACUAAUACCCCAUAAUAUCAGAAUCGGCAUCGGUUUUGGUUGAAAACUCCGGUGGUUGGAGAUGGGCAUGCGUUGUAUUAGAUAAUUGGUGAGGUAACGGCUCACCAAGUCAACGAUACAUAGGGGGACUGAGAGGUUAGUCCCCCACACUGGUACUGAGACACGGACCAGACUCCUACGGGAGGCAGCAGUGAGGAAUAUUGGUCAAUGGGGGCAACCCCGAACCAGCCAUGCCGCGUGCAGGAAGACGGCUCUAUGAGUUGUAAACUGCUUUUACAAGGGGAUAAAUCGGUGUACGUGUACACCGUUGAAGGUACCUUGGGAAUAAGGAUCGGCUAACUCCGUGCCAGCCGCCGCGGUAA